RNAcentral lists this long non-coding RNA (1845 nucleotides) under Chloebia gouldiae (Gouldian finch). RNAcentral describes it as "Erythrura gouldiae (Gouldian finch) lncRNA (ENSEGOG00005005887.1)". The record is from RNAcentral. Lineage: Eukaryota; Metazoa; Chordata; Aves; Passeriformes; Passeridae.
AUGUGGGUUGGCUGCCUGUGCUGCUCCCAACACCAAACCCAUCCCGACACCCUGGAUCUGUUUUCAGGGUGCUCCAUGUGUACAUCUCCACCAAAUUCCCUGGCUGCACCGACCUGGCAGCUGUGCCAUGCUGGCACAGAUGGGAUUGCUGCCAGCAUUUAUCCCAAGACCAAGUGCUGGCAGCAGGAGUUCCCUGAGUGAUUUGUGUGUGAGCUGAAGCAUCUCUGUAAGAGACCAGAGCUACUGAUUGUAAACUGGGCAGCAACAGAGACUCUGCUACCAGCUUGGCUGAGCUGCCCCAGGGUUUAUCUGCCCUGGACGUUGAAACCCAUCCAUCAUUCCUGACCUAGACCUGCCUUGCUCUGGGUUUGGGGCCAGCGCAGGCUGAGGUGGAGCAGCUCUGGGGCAGAGAUAGCCAGGUUGUUGGGACAAGUGACUCUGCAGAGCUGCUUGCUCCCUGCAUGGGUUACCCAGGAGGGGCUCCACACACCCUGCAAUUACUGAAAAGGAAAGUUAAGUGAUUGUGGGAGCAACUUUGUUGUAGAGUUGAAGGCGUUAAAUGGGACAAAUCAUGGGAGAGCUAAUUCCUUUUAUUCGGUAUGGAAAACAAAUUAGCUGGGUACACAAGCCCUUUCUGACACUAUUGUUACUGUUAUUAUCCCUUACUGGUGCUGUUAGAAAUGAGGGCAUUGCAUUAGAGGGAAGGCCCAUUAUGCAAGUGUUUAGAUGUGCUGGUAACUGCUCUCUGCUGACAGGUAUUUACUUAAUGAUAUGUUGGAGUGAAAACCAGCAGCAAGGACAAGCUUUGGAGGGAGCUGGGAGUGCUGAGCUCUGCCUGGUCCAGCCUUGCCUGGACCUCCUGGAGCUGCCUGACACCUCCCACCCACAGCAGGCAUCUCCCAAAGCCCCUUUUCUGUACUUCCAGCAGGAUCCUGACCAGAGCGCGUUCCCAGACUGUGUCCUCAGUGCUCUCCCUGGUCCCAGGCCUGAUUCCCAUGGAUGUCUGCAGCCUCCGGAGCUGCCCUGACUUGCUUGCAAAAGGUCUUUCUGCUCCUGCCUGUGCUGGAGGCAAUGCCUCCUGUGGGUACCAGUGGGACUGGUCACGUUUCCGGUGUCAUGUGCUGUCCAUGACGGAUGGCAGAGCCAGUUUUUCUGCUCCAAAAGUGGGACUGGGGAGGAGACCGCAACACUCAAAUACCCAGAGCCCUGGUUGCUGCCAGCCAUCGAGGAGAUCACUUCUUUUUCAGCUCCAGGGUUUGGACGGGAAGAUAAGGAGAGAGAGGAGGACAAAAAAGAGAAGGAAGAAAAGGAGAAGGAAAAGACCGAGGGAGAAAAAGAGAAGGAGAAGCAGAAGAGGAGGAAGAAGGAAGAAGAAAAGCAGGGAGAUGGGGAAGAGGACAGGAGCAGCAGCAGCUCUGACAGUGACUUGGAGGAGGACCAAGGCAUUGCCAAGGAUGAUGAGAAGGAAGACAAGGAUUAGUCUUUCCGUGCUGGAGCAGCAGAACAUGCCCUGGGCACGCCAAGGAGGUGGAGAUGGAAAUAGCAGCUUGGGCUGGAGGGCAACUGGGCCACUCAGCCAAAUAAAGAUGUUGUGAUCUCCAAAGAGAAAUGCUAUUCAUUCACCUAGUCACACUGCCUACCCAGUGCUAUCCGUCCCUCUGCAAAAGGAAACACUCAAGGAAAGGCAGNNNNNNNNNNCCGGGGACCCUGGAUGCUGGCAGAGUCCAGCCGGCAGCAAAAGGGACCUCAGAGGAGGACGCAGAGCCAGCACCCCAACCCACUGCUUCUGCUGGCAGUAUUAGGACAAGCCCAGAAGUCUCACCAUCAAUAAAAAACUUCAAUGCA